GAUGAACGCUAGCGACAGGCUUAACACAUGCAAGUCGAGGGGCAGCACAGGGUAGCAAUACUUGGGUGGCGACCGGCGCACGGGUGAGUAACGCGUAUGCAACUUACCUAUCAGAGGGGGAUAGCCCGGCGAAAGUCGGAUUAAUACCCCAUGAAACAGGGGUCCCGCAUGGGAAUAUUUGUUAAAGAUUCAUCGCUGAUAGAUAGGCAUGCGUUCCAUUAGGCAGUUGGCGGGGUAACGGCCCACCAAACCGACGAUGGAUAGGGGUUCUGAGAGGAAGGUCCCCCCACAUUGGUACUGAGACACGGACCAAACUCCUACGGGAGGCAGCAGUGAGGAAUAUUGGUCAAUGGGCCGAGAGGCUGAACCAGCCAAGUCGCGUGAAGGAAGAAGGAUCUAUGGUUGUAAACUUCUUUUAUAGGGGAAUAAAGUGGAGGACGUGUCCUUUUUGUAUGUACCCUAUGAAUAAGCAUCGGCUAACUCCGUG
RNAcentral lists this ribosomal RNA (487 nucleotides) under uncultured bacterium. RNAcentral's name for it is "bacterial SSU rRNA". It matches the Rfam family "Bacterial small subunit ribosomal RNA", at positions 28 to 507 of the family's 1533-position model. The record is from RNAcentral.